Long non-coding RNA from Zonotrichia leucophrys gambelii, 1623 nucleotides. RefSeq lists it as uncharacterized. The record is from RefSeq and is a predicted model, not a curated record. The transcript has 3 exons. NCBI's taxonomy places the organism in Eukaryota, Metazoa, Chordata, Aves, Passeriformes, Passerellidae.
AUUGCAUGGACCACCACACAGAGGAGAUAAGAACCUGCAUUAAUCUUAUGACUGUGUUUGCUGGUUCUCACCUGUGCUGAGACCAGGCAGCAGCUGCUGAAUUUGCUUCCAAGCCUUGUUUUCUGAUUCCAAACUUAAGAGUGGGCUCCAGGUGGCAGCACGGACACCGUUUCCAGAGCCGGCAGAACGGAGACCUGCUCAUUCCAGAAACACAAGAUUGGCAGAGAAUCCCUGGGUUCUGAAACCCUCCAUCUGCAGCUUCAGGAAAGGCACUGCUAGCAGUGGCUUAGAACUGAGGAUUCUUGGGACCAGCUGAAGGACUCUUCUAAUGAGCAUGUCCGAGUAUGCACCUUGUGCUGUCCCUGCUCCCAUGUCCUUGCUCUCCAACAGCCAGGGCACCAGAAAAUCCCUGCUGCACUCAAUCAAAACCCACCAAGCAGCUGGUGAUAAGUGACAGCUAAAACAACAGAAAAUGAUCAAGAGCAUGGGUAAAACAGCGCUUUUGAUCAACCUCGUUUUUAGUAAAGGAAGAUAAGAGAUUGUGGCUGGAUUUGGAUGUAGAUAAUUGCAGAGGUGUUAAAAAUAACUACACAUGUUUGAGUCAUUUUGAAGUAGCAAUUUCCCAGAUGUAUACAGAAGAACAAUUAGCUUGCACAAAAUGACUGUAAGUCAUUCUGGUUUGUGGUAGCAGGGCAUCAGCAACUGUGGGAAGGCAACAGUUAAAACCAGAUUUGUCAAGGAGGGAAUUUUCACUCAAAGUGAUUUUGCAGCUGGUAAUGCUAAGAAUGCUGGUGUGGGAAAACUCCCAUUCUUAUGCCUGGAAUUGUUCAUCCUCUGCCUGUUUUGAGAAGCAGAAUUCCUGUGCAGAGAUAAUACACUCACAGACAUGCUUGAGCCUCCUGCUGGAGGCUCAAAAAGCACAGCCUUUUGAAACCCAUAAACCGUGUGUGCCUAAAGCCCUUUGGUAUAUUGGGACAGGCAGAGGAGGCCCUUUCACCCCCCACAGUCACUAGGAAGAACGAAGCCUAAGGAAGCCUGUGUCCCUGUGUGUCUCUGUGGCCCAGUGUUGUUAGUGAAGUUAUGAAAUAAAUCUACUCUUAGCAUCUCAGCUGUGGCUUGGUGGUCACAUUGUUUGUGUCGACUCACAUGGUGACCUAAGAAAUUGUACCAGCUUUGUCUUCCUAAGGGGAUCAAAAGUGAAAUCAGCCCAGUUUCCUUAUGUUGUAAAGACAGAUUAUGUGGAUAUAUCUGCCGUGCUGUAAUUUGUAUCCCACAAAUGGCCAACCACUCUGAAAUUUCUAAAGGGAGUGCUGAAUAUUGCAUGGUCAUUGACCAGAAGAAAAAUGAGCUAACUUUUUCAAAAGCUAAAUGUCUGUGAGUUACUGCCUUGCUACAUAGACAUGAUUGUCCUGGGCAAAAAUAUCUGGGUGCCUGCUCUUGCUUUGAGCCAAACGUCAGGGAAAACACAUUUUGUACAUCUCAUGUACAAGCCCAUGGUUAACAACCACAGUCAGGAUGCUGACAGCUCCCUGGGGCUAGGGGUUAUGGGGGCUCAGUCCUGAGGCUGCUUAAAUAAGACCCCCACCAAAAGAAAAAUUUCUUCAACGUGGGAAUGGUAUAUUC